Long non-coding RNA from Bolinopsis microptera, 416 nucleotides. RefSeq lists it as uncharacterized. The record is from RefSeq and is a predicted model, not a curated record. The transcript is spliced from 2 exons. Lineage: Eukaryota; Metazoa; Ctenophora; Tentaculata; Lobata; Bolinopsidae.
CACGGUUUGAAAUGUUGAUAGCCUCAUAAAGGGAGUAUGGGCAGUGGUACUUGAUAAUCUUAGAGAAUUCUAAGAUGCAGUGAUAUUUGUACAAGUUUUGAGCCGUAAGAAUUUUUAAUCUAUUAAAAAUGGGUUUUGUAUGCUCCUUUUCAAAGUGUUUAUGCGUUAUAUAUUUUCAAAUAUAGUUCAGAAGGUAUCGAGUGCCGAAUUCUGCAGAUUGCACCAGUCAUAGAUCGCAGUUUUUUACGGAUGUAGUGCAUGUGGGCAAUCCAGUUUAGCUUACUAUCUAUAACAACACCUAAGAAUUUGGUAUCCUUGACUUUAGUAAUAACCUUACCAUUGAUGAAUAUUGAUCUAGAUUCAUCUAGCAGGAUAGCAAAUGGUCUGGUCCGUGCACAGGUGUCAUCAUAUUCAGA